Molecule: ribosomal RNA, 723 nt
Filed under: uncultured bacterium
Lineage: Bacteria
Description: bacterial SSU rRNA
Rfam family: Bacterial small subunit ribosomal RNA
Source: RNAcentral
GAGAAAGGGGAGCAAUCCCUGAGUAAAGAGGCGUACGGGUGAGUAACACGUGGGUAAUCCGCUCCUUGGUGGGGAAUAACUUUGGGAAACCGAAGCUAAUACCGCAUAAGUCCGAGAGGAGAAAGGCGAAAGUCGCCGAGGAAGGAGCCCGCGGCCGAUUAGCUAGUUGGUAGGGUAAAAGCCUACCAAGGCUUUGAUCGGUAGCCGGCCUGAGAGGGCACACGGCCACACUGGCACUGAGACACGGGCCAGACUCCUACGGGAGGCAGCAGUGGGGAAUCUUGCACAAUGGGGGAAACCCUGAUGCAGCGACGCCGCGUGAACGAUGAAGCCCUUCGGGGUGUAAAGUUCUUUCGACAGGAACGAUAAUGACGGUACCUGGAGAAGAAGCUGCGGCUAACUACGUGCCAGCAGCCGCGGUAAUACGUAGGCAGCAAACGUUGUUCGGAGUUACUGGGCGUAAAGAGUAUGUAGGUGGUUUGCUAAGUUUGGUGUGAAAUCUCCCGGCUCAACUGGGAGGGUGCGCCGAAUACUGGUGAACUCGAGUGUGGGAGAGGGAAGCGGAAUUUCUGGUGUAGCGGUGAAAUGCGUAGAUAUCAGAAGGAACACCGGUGGUGUAGACGGCUUCCUGGACCACAACUGACACUGAGAUACGAAAGCGUGGGGAGCAAACAGGAUUAGAUACCCUGGUAGUCCACGCCCUAAACGAUGCGAACUUGGUGU